UCAACGGAGAGUUUGAUCCUGGCUCAGGAUGAACGCUGGCGGCGGGUCUAACACAUGCAAGUCGAGGGACGAACCGAGGUGCUUG
This 85-nucleotide ribosomal RNA is filed under the name Nitriliruptor sp. RNAcentral's name for it is "partial 16S ribosomal RNA". It matches the Rfam family "Bacterial small subunit ribosomal RNA", at positions 1 to 86 of the family's 1533-position model. Lineage: Bacteria; Bacillati; Actinomycetota; Nitriliruptoria; Nitriliruptorales; Nitriliruptoraceae. The record is from RNAcentral.